AGUAAACACUCUCCAGCUGAGCCACACCCACAGCAGAGGAAUGUACCUGAAUUGAUGUAACAGACGCAGAACGUUUCAUUAUUAUGUGUUUCCAUUCGCCGAGCUGCAGCAGCAAUAUGUAGAUCUGGAGGUCUCUGUUCACACGUUCACAGCUUCAUGGCUGUGGUGCAAAACCGAAGUCAGAGCAGUGAUUGAGAAACGUGCACCCAAAGCAGAAGAAGGAAGGAGAAGGAGUCGCCUUUCGUGUCUCAGAGCGGCCCGUGCAUCACUCCGGUCUGCUCCGAACUCUCGCGCUCGCUGGCCGACUCCCACGGCUCCCACGGCUCCCUCACCCCCCUCACCCCUCGGCCCCAAAUGGCUGACACACAGCAGUUCUUCACUGGCAAGCUUUAUGUUCCUGUACACAUGCUAAAGCUGCCAGCUGAAGAACUGCUCUGGUCAGCCCUGCCCCGGAUGACUCAAGAAAAGGAAGCAGAUGGGGGGUGGUGGGAACCGGACUGAGAAAGACGGCGUUUCACACUCACAGCAGUCAGACUGGACUUGCCAGAUUUGAGCCUGUGGUUUACUUCACUAUUUUAUGAUCACACGUGUUUUUUUCCUUCCCAUUUGUUUAAACUGUGUCUAUGAUGUUGUUGUUGUUUUAGCUUCCAAUAAAGAACAAAAUGUUCCCUC
This is a long non-coding RNA of Amphiprion ocellaris (clown anemonefish), 672 nucleotides long. NCBI's taxonomy places the organism in Eukaryota, Metazoa, Chordata, Actinopteri, Pomacentridae. The record is from Ensembl.